Molecule: long non-coding RNA, 513 nt
Filed under: Gossypium barbadense (sea-island cotton)
Lineage: Eukaryota; Viridiplantae; Streptophyta; Magnoliopsida; Malvales; Malvaceae
Description: long non-coding RNA (GBAR_LNC022745)
Source: RNAcentral
ACUAACGCCACCCCUGAUGGACACCCGCUGUACGGCGCGUGGGAUGCAUUCGCCGCUUCCAGAGCCGCGUACUUUGAAUCGUCACCGUCGCCGUUGAUUUCGCCGUUGCGGGUAUCGGAGCAAAACGACAAGCCGUUUCGGUGAGGCUCGAGGAGAAGAGGGACGUCUUUUUCCAGCAAAUCAUCGGGGCCGAACCUGUGAGGUAAAAAAUAAGAUAAAGGAGCAAAUUGCAUGUCUUUAUCGUUACGAUUGUUGAUCGUUUUGUUUUCUUUUUCCUUCUCGGUGGCGGUUAUGAGGAUGUUGACAUCGGGGGCGGCGCGUAGCUCUUGGAGGAACUGGCGACAAUGACCACAAGGGGCGGCGGAGACGGCGAGGAACUUGAGACAUGGUUCCGCAUUGAGGGAAAGGUUGGUGAUUAAGAAUUGCUCGGCGUGGACGGAAUGAUUGAGAGGGAGACCCGGGAAUUCCAGAUUGACUCCGAAAAAGAUCCGACCCGAUGAGCCGACCCCGACG